This 392-nucleotide ribosomal RNA is filed under the name uncultured bacterium. RNAcentral's name for it is "bacterial SSU rRNA". It matches the Rfam family "Bacterial small subunit ribosomal RNA", at positions 30 to 429 of the family's 1533-position model. The record is from RNAcentral.
AUUGAACGCUGGCGGCAUGCCUUACACAUGCAAGUCGAACGGCAGCGGACCUUCGGGUGCCGGCGAGUGGCGAACGGGUGAGUAAUAUAUCGGAACGUACCUUUCAGUGGGGGAUAACGUAGCGAAAGUUACGCUAAUACCGCAUAUUCUGUGAGCAGGAAAGCAGGGGAUCGCAAGACCUUGCGCUGAUUGAGCGGCCGAUAUCAGAUUAGCUAGUUGGUGAGGUAAAGGCUCACCAAGGCGACGAUCUGUAGCGGGUCUGAGAGGAUGAUCCGCCACACUGGAACUGAGGCACGGUCCAGACUCCUACGGGAGGCAGCAGUGGGGAAUUUUGGACAAUGGGCGCAAGCCUGAUCCAGCCAUGCCGCGUGAGUGAAGAAGCCUGGUGUAAG